GGACUACGGGGGUAUCUAAUCCGGUUUGCUCCCCCAGCUUUCGUCCCUCACUGUCGGACCCGUUCUGGUGAGAUGCCUUCGCUAUAGGUGGUCCCACCGGGAUUACAGGAUUUCACUCCUACCCCGGCAGUACCUCUCACCUCUCCCGGUCCCUAGAAAUGCAGUUUCCCCUGAACGCCCGCCAGUUAAGCCGGCGGAUUUCUCAAGAGACUUGCAUAUCAAGCUACGGACCCUUUAAGCCCAGUAAUAGUGGCCACCACUCGAGCCGCCGGUAUUACCGCGGCGGCUGGCACCGGUCUUGCCCGGCCCUUUCUUCACCAGUUAUUUACACUGGCGGACAGCCAGCCUAUGCUGGCACUCGGGGUUUCCUUAUCACGGUUUCCCGCAUUGUAAAGUUUUCGCGCCUGCUGCCCCCCAUAGG
Molecule: ribosomal RNA, 421 nt
Filed under: uncultured Methanospirillum sp.
Lineage: Archaea; Methanobacteriati; Methanobacteriota; Methanomicrobia; Methanomicrobiales; Methanospirillaceae
Description: partial 16S ribosomal RNA
Source: RNAcentral